Molecule: long non-coding RNA, 19921 nt
Filed under: Solanum tuberosum (potato)
Lineage: Eukaryota; Viridiplantae; Streptophyta; Magnoliopsida; Solanales; Solanaceae
Description: long non-coding RNA (STUB_LNC001200)
Source: RNAcentral
GUGGACAGAUUGCUUCAACUAUCUGCAAUCUGAAAACACUAACAGCUUUGGACUUAGGAAGUAACAAUUUGGAGGGAACAAUCCCACAAUGUUUGGUUGAGAUGAAUGAAUACCUUUGGAAUUUGGAUUUGAGCAACAACAGUCUUAGUGGGACUAUCAAUACAAAUUUUAGUGUUGGAAACGAUCUCACGAUCAUUAGCUUGCAUGGGAAUAAGCUAACGGGGAAAGUCCCACGAUCUUUGAUCAAUUGCAAGUACUUGACACUUCUUGAUCUAGGUAACAAUCAGUUGAAUGACACAUUUCCAAACUGGUUGGGACACCUACCUGAUUUGAAGAUUUUAAGCUUGAGAUCAAAUAAGUUUCAUGGUCCCAUUAAAUCUUCAGGGAAUACAAACUUGUUUGCGCGGCUUCAAAUUCUGGAUCUAUCAUCCAAUGGAUUUAGUGGUAAUUUACCAAUAAGUCUUUUUGGGAAUUUGCAAGCCAUGAAGAAAUUGAUGAGCGUACAAGAACCCCAGAGUAUGUUUCUGAUCAAUAUGCUGGUUAUUAUGAUUAUUUGAUGACAAUUACAACAAAGGGGCAAGAGUAUGAUUGUGUUCAAAUUUUGGAUUCUAACAUGAUUAUCGAUCUCUCAAAGAACCGAUUUGAAGGUCAUAUUCCAAGCAUUAUUGGAGAUCUCGUUGAACUUCGUACCUUGAACUUAUCUCAUAAUGUCUUGGAAGGUCAUAUACCAGCAUCAUUGCAAAAUUUAUCUGUACUCGAAUCAUUGGAUCUCUCAUCUAACAAAAUCAGCGGAGGAAUUCCACCACAACUUGCAUCCCUCACGUUUCUUGCAGUCUUAAAUCUCUCUCACAAUCAUCUUGUUGGAUGCAUCCCCAAAGGAAAACAAUUUGAUACGUUUGAGAAUAGCUCAUACCAAGGGAAUGAUGGGUUAUGUGGACUGCCAUUCUCAAAACAUUGUGGUGGUGAUGGUAGGGUACCACAAGCGACAAUUCCAGCUGAGCAAGAUCAAGAAGAAGAAGAAGAUUCACCAAUGAUCAGUUGGCAGGCGGUUCUCAUGGGUUACGGUUGUGGUCUAGUUAUUGGACUGUCUAUAAUAUACAUAAUGUUGUCAACUCAAUAUCCAACAUGGUUUUCGAGGAUGGUAUUGAAAUUGGAACACAGAAUGAUUACGAGAAUGAAAAGGCACAAGAAAAGAUAUUAGUGAGUAGCGACCUCCAGGUAUAUAACUUGAUCUAUUUUAUUUUAUUUCUAUUUUUUUUUACCCUCCGUAGGAGCUCCCACCCCUUUUGCUCCCUUGGUGACUCGAACUCGCAACCUUCGGGUUGGAAGUGAGAGGUGCUUACCAUCCGAGCAACUCCCUCUCGUCAUUCAACUUGAUCAUUAUCCUUCAGAAGAUUAUUUUUUAUAUAUCGAUGUAAUUUCUACCUACUUCAUCCUUUAAGCUCUUAACUUUAAUUCUUCAUUUUUGAAAAUUGCAGGAUUCAAGUCUACUGAAUUGCUGGGAUGCAAUAAGACGAGUUUUUGUUUACCAAUAGUCUGUUAUAUAGUAUGUAGUAAUUUAUUCAGCCUGAUUAUUAGUUAGCUACUUCAUUUCGACUGCAAUGUUCAGUUCAUAAAUUUAUGAAGUUAUCUUAUCUUUUUGUUUUAAUUACAUCAAUAAUUUCAAUAGCAAGCUAAACGUGUACACCUUUUAAGACUCUCCUAAAAAUUGGCUUAAAUAUCCUUAUGGUGUUAAAGAUUGCUCUAAAGUCACCACUCCUUGUUAGUCGAAAAUCACACUUGUCUAAUUUCAAAUGUUUAUAUGUAAAAAGAAUCGAAGAUAUGCCUUUUUUUCUCAACUUUGAUCUGUAGAGGUAUUGAUCUUGUCGCCUCUGCUCUCUGUGCGUUCCUAUUUCUUAAUAAAUCUCUGUGACAUUAGAUACAGGCCUUGUACACCAUACCUUGUAGGAAGACAAUAACGGAUUAGUUCAAGGAGUACUAAAAGUUCUGUUAAAGAAAAUGCUUAAAAACUACAUAUGACAUCUUGUAUUAUAAAGAGAAUGCAAGCUUGAGUCUACUUCAAAUGAUCAUAAUAUAUCGGAUACUCAUUAAAUGAGCAUUCUCAAUAACAGAGCUUGGAUCAAAUCUAUAUUAUGUGCACAGAAUUAUGAAGCAUGAAUACUAGUUCACCUCAACUUUUUCCUUUUCUUUUUGCUAAGAAAAGGCAUUUUGUUGGGUUAUACACAUUUACAAGGGUGAAAAAGAUGCCACAAUUUACACCAUCCUGUAUCAAACAGUCCAGAAUCGAGACGAAGAUAACUAGCUUUAUAAAAAAUUAUUGAUAAAAAUUAUUGAUCUAGGAAAAAGAUGCAUUCUUGAGCUUAUGCUCGAAACUAAUUAAGGGAUAAUUCUCAAAGGAGUACGAAAAGUUCUGUUAUAGGAAGUUUCGUUCAUAACGUUCAAGAAUUUGAAUUACUCUGUGGGAGUAUCAAUUUGGAGGGAACAAUCCCACAAUGCCUGGGUGAGAUGAAUGAAUACCUUUGGAAUUUGGAUUUGAGCAACAACAGUCUUAGUGGGACAAUCAAUAUAAAUUUUAGUAUUGGAAACUCUUUCAGGGUCAUUAGCUUGCACGGGAAUAAGCUAACAGGGAAAGUCCCACCAUCUUUGAUCAAUUGCAAGUAUUUGACACUUCUUGAUCUAGGUAACAAUAAGUUGAAUGACACAUUUCCAAACUGGUUGGGAAACCUACCUGAUUUGCAGAUUUUAAGCUUGAGAUCAAAUAAGUUUCACGGUCCCAUUAAAUCUUCAGGGAAUACAAACUUGUUUGCGCAGCUUCAAAUUCUGGAUCUAUCAUCCAAUGGAUUUAGUGGUAAUUUACCAAUAAGUCUUUCUGGGAAUUUGCAAGCCAUGAAGAAAAUUGACGAGAGUACAAGAACCCCAGAGUAUGUUUCUGAUCAAUUUGCUGGUUAUUAUGAUUAUUUGAUGACAAUUACAACAAAGGGACAAGAUUAUGAUUGUGUUCAAAUUUUGGAUCCUAACAUGAUUAUCGAUCUCUCAAAGAACAGAUUUGAAGGUCUUAUUCCAAGCAUUAUUGGAGAUCUUGUUGGACUUUGUACCUUGAACUUAUCUCAUAAUGUCUUGGAAGGUCAUAUACCAGCUUCAUUGCAAAAUUUAUCAGUACUCGAAUCAUUGGAUCUCUCAUCUAACAAAAUCAGCGGAGAAAUUCCACAACAGCUUGCAUCCCUCACAUUCCUUGCAGUUUUAAAUCUCUCUCACAAUCAUCUUGUUGGAUGCAUCCCCAAAGGAAACCAAUUUGAUACGUUUGAGAACAGUUCGUACCAAGGGAAUGAUGGAUUAUGAGGAUUGCCACCCUCAAGAGACUGUGGCCGUGAUGAUAGGGUACCACAAGAGACAAUUCUAGUUGAGCUAGAUCAAGAAGAAGUAGAUGAUUCACCAAUGAUCAGUUGGCAGAAGGUUCUCAUGGGUUACGGUUGUGGUCUAGUUAUUGGAUUGUCUGUAAUAUACAUAAUGUGGUCAACUCAAUAUCCAGCAUGGUUUUCGAGGAUGGAUUUAAAAUUGGAACACAAAAUUACUACGAGAAUGAAAAGGCACAAAAAAAAGAUAUUAGUGUGUAGCGACCUUCAGGUAUUCAACUUGAUCUUUAUCUUUCUUAAGAUUAUUUUUUAUAUAUCAAUGUAUUUUCGACCUCCUUCAUCCUCAAAGCUCUUACCUUUAAUUCUUCAUUUUUGAAAAUUGCAGGAUUCAUGUCUACAAAGUUUCUGAAGAUUAAGAUAAAAAGCCUCUAUCUUUCAUUUGUCUAUGGCAUGUAGAAAUAAAUUCGACUGAUAAAUAGAAGUCGGACAUAAAGUUGAAUCUUUGGAUCAAUCAGAUGAUAUGUGUCAUCACUAAAAACGUAGUAUUUCACUCAACUCUUUCACAUAACAUCAUAACACAAACAUAGAACACUCGAAUUUAAGUUCAAAAACAUAAAAAUCUGAAGUUACCGAGUUCGGAAUAUUUUUUUUCAGAUUCAUGAUGGUCCUUCAUCAAAAGAUCAAAGAAACAUUACCAGGGACCAAAGUUACAGUUUUCUAUCUUUAACUCUUUUCAUUGAAGCAGCAGCAAAAAGAUUUGCAUUAUUCUCUACUCCCUGAGCCUCACAUAGACAACAUCACGUGUUUUCAACUGGAAUCUGCAUUCUUUGAAGAGUUGGAGAAAGAGCCUUCAACUCUUCCCAUCUAAGUCUCUGAUGACAGAGUUACCCGAUAUCUCUAUUGGUGGAAGGUAGACGGUACCGGUUGAAUUAAUCGAAUAGACUCAAGUUGACCUGAGCAUCACUGUUAUACAACAACAAACUAUGCCUCAGCCCCAAACAAAAACUUGCAUAGAGACCUGCAAUAAUGUUCGAAGCCCAAAAUAAGAUAGACAUAAACACACAAUUGAGUGAUAUAAUUUCUAGUGAUCGAAAUCCAUAUGGAUUUCAAACAUCAUUUAGGAAGAAAUCAAGCAGAAGCGCUUGACUAUAGGUGAGGUUUAUCGUGAUCAACUAUUGUUCAGAUUCAUUAAUUAGCAAACUGCUCCACAAUUUCAAAGUUUCGGGGCAAAGAAAAAGAUUCAUAAAAACAAAAGGGAAUACCUCGCCAAACAGACUUAGGAACCAGGUUUGUCAAGAUAUCACUGCAGCUUUCUUUACGCUGUGCUUUAAUCUCUGUGCAAAAUCCAUAUGCAGGAUCCUUUUAACUGAUUUUGAUGAGUCGAGAUUUCACAAAAAUGUAUCUGUCAAACUAUGACUUAGCUGAUGCGGCAGUUAUCAGCUCCACUAAAUAUACUUGUGGGCUGAAACCUUGUGUAUUCCAGCAUCUAACAUUGCUUUUCUCAAGGCAGCAGCAUAAUCCCACCUCUCUGCGCCAGCACAAAUGAUUCGGUUGCGACUCAAGCAGUAGUUGUGAUACUUCAUAUCCCAAUUCAAUAGCUCCAUGAAGUCUACAAGCACCCAUCAGAGCCCCCAAGACAGUAAAGGCAUCAGCUUCAAACAAGAUAAUGUUCCAUCUUAGCUACAAGUCAAAAUUCAUGAGACAUCGCUUCAAACAAUUUAAAACUGAAAUCGACAAGCUUGGCAUACACACAAUUAAGCUGAUAGAACAGACACAAAAGUAAUCUCAUUUGGUUGCAGCCCCUUUGCCCUCAUCUUCUCAUACAUCGUUAAUGCCUACUUCUCUCUUCUAAGAAAAGGGUUGUAGAUUAUUUGUGAUACAUUAAUUUCUAUUCGACCUCCUUUAUGAUGCAAAUAACAUUAAUGAAAGGCAUAAAACAGUACUAAAUUAAGACAGGGAGAUUUGAUAUAUAGUUUAGAGAAUAUUUGGGCCUCUUGAAGUGUAACAGCCCAAAGCACAAAACAUUGAAGACCCAAACCAGCAAAACAAAAGAAAAUCAGAAUCAGACAUAAAGUUGAAUCUUUAGAUCAUUCAAUCAGACGAUAUGUGCCAUCACUAAAAACAUUGUAUUUCACUCAACUCUUACACAUAACACAAACAUACAACACUCGACUUUAAGUUCAGGAACAUAAAAAUCUGUAGUUACAGAGUUUGAAGAUAUUUUUCUACCGACUCAUGAUGGUCCUUCAUCAAAAAAUGGAAGAAACAUCAGGAAAACACAGAAAAUCUAGUAUCCAACACGGCUUCAGAAGGAGAAUCUUCUGUUACUAUCAUCAAUGAAUUCAGUAUUACAAACUUCAGGCCUUAAGAACUGAAAUACAGGUGCUCGGAAAAUUGAUUUAGGCUGUAUAUGGAUGAUAUACAGCGGAAAGGGACGACAUAGGGUUCAUAUACAGUAGUAAUAUACGCUUGGUAUAUAUUCAGGUUUUCAAGGGUAAAAAUAGGGCCAAUGCCCAAACACAACCUGCAGCAGGCCCAAGAAGGGCCCAAAUUCAAUUUCUCCUUCACUCUUAACCUAUUUAACUGUGAUUAUUUACUGUUAGCUUUUUAUUAACUCUAACUUUAAAUAACUUAAUUAAAUACCCAAAAGAUGAACUAUAUUAUUUCUGUUAGUUUAUUUUAAUAUAAUUCAUUUUUUAUCAACUUUCAUACUUUUAUUGAAUAUAUUUAGUCAAAACUUUUUAUUUAUUCUUCAAUUAAUUUAAAAUCGUUUUCAUACUUUUAGUUAAUCAAAUCGGUUUAAAUUAUUAUUUUAAAAUGAUUCAAAUAAAUUUUAAUUAAUCUAGUUUUGUUAAAAUACUAAUCACUUGUAAUUAAAUUCAAAUAUUUUAAUUAAGGUCCCCCUUUCUAAAAAAAAUCAAAAAUUGUUCUUUGUUUAACUAUUUUUUUCAAGUUAAUAUUAAAAGUCAUUUUCAUAAUCACUUCCCAAAAAAUAGUCAAAAAAAUAUUUUAACCAAGUUGUAGGAUAACCGCGUGUUAGCGGAUGCUUCAAAUGCCUUAAAAACCUUCUUGAAGCGUAAAUAAGAACCUCUUACCCAUUUUCUCUAAAUUUUUAAAGACUUAAUCUGUUAGAGUCUUUUUAAAUUAUAAGUUUUUUUGUAAUUUCUCUAAAAAAUAAAGUAGCGACUCUUUUCUAAGUAUUUUUCUCAAAUUGUCUUAUACUUAAAGCAUUUCAAAAGUAAUUUUUCUAAAGAUAGUCAAAUUACAAUAUAUAUAACAUUUAGAUCAUUCGAUCAGAUGAUAUUUGUCAUCACUAAAAACAUUGUAUUCACUCAACUCGUUCACAUGACAUCAUAAUAAAAACAUAGAGCACUCGACUUUAUGUUCAGAAACAUAAAUUUGUAGUUACAGAGUUCGAAAAUAUUUUUUACAGACUCAUCGAAAGAUCAAAGAAACAUCAGGAAACCAUGGACCAAAGUUGAAGUCUUCUAUCUUUAACUAUUUUCAUUGUAGCUUAUAUCAUAAAAAAAUUAACUCAAAGGAGAUUUGGACUCAACUUCAACUUCCUGUGUAUAAUAUUUCAAGAAUAGUAAAACAAGUUGAUAUCUAAAUUUACUUUGAAAUGGCCUUCAUACUUGGAACUAUUAAUUACUGCAGAACUUUAAUCACUCAUUAAUGUAUAAAACAUGUACCCUAUUGAGUUUUCUUAUUGGGAGAAACGGUAGUCUAUCAAUUAGUAAUGACUUUCCAAUUUUUUGGUAGUUUAUCAAUAAAUUAGUAAUGACUUUCCUACAUAAAUUAAAUGAAUACAUGGAUUCUUUAUUACCACAAAUUUUUUAAAAUAACAGUUUUUUUUUUUAAAGUAAGGAAAAAAUGGUCAAUUAAUUUUGUACAGGUAUUUCGUAAUCCAACUUGGCACUUUGAAGCUUCACAAUUUUAAUUGAGCUUUAUAUUUUCAUUGGAACGAACUUUAAUUCUUUAACAUGUGUAUCUUGAGGAGAAGAGAAAGGGAAAGUUCUGAGUGGGGUUAAGGGAACCAAAACAAAUACCUUUUAUGUGACAUUUUUGUCUAUAUAUAAUAAUGUAUCAGACAAAAUGCAUUUGUUAUAUACAAGCGGUGGGACUUUGUUACGUUGUUGCUUUCAUUUGAACAUAUUGAAUGUGCAUAUGUGAUUGUCAACUUCAAAUUGACUGAAAAUGCUUAAUUUAUGCUAAUCUCUAUCUCAUCAAAAUUAUUGAAUACACACACAGAGCAAAUAUCUUCUCUACCAACUUAAUUAGUUUUGAUCAUUUUUAGUGCGGAAAUGGGUUAUGUAAAACUUGUAUUUUUUAUGUUAUAUACCUUUCUCUGUCAACUUGGUAUCUCCUCAUCCUUACCUCAUUUAUGCCCCGAAGAUCAAGCUCUUGCUCUUCUACAAUUUAAGCACAUGUUUACCAUUAAUCCUAAUGCUUCUAAUUUUUGUCGUGAAAUAAUAACAGAUCAAGAGAUUCAGUCAUAUCCAAAAACCCUUUUAUGGAACAAGAGCACAGAUUGUUGCUCAUGGGACGGAGUUCAUUGUGACGAGAUGACGGGACAAGUAAUUGAGCUUGAUCUCAGUUACAGCACACUUCAAGGCAAGUUUCAUUCCAAUAGUAGCCUCUUUCAAUUAUCCAAUCUCAAAAGGCUUGAUUUGUCAUGUAAUAAUUUCACCGGAUCGCUCAUUUCACCUAAAUUUGGUGAGUUCUCUAGCUUGACGCAUCUUGAUUUGUCAGGUACAGGUUUUACAGGUCUAAUGCCAACAGAAAUCUCUCACCUUUCUAAAUUACACGUUCUUCGAUUCAGUGGUCUAUAUGACCUUAGUCUUGGGCGUCACAAUUUUGAACUGCUCCUUAAAAACUUGACCCAAUUAAGAGAGCUCAACCUUGACUAUGUAAACAUCUCUUCCACAAUUCCUCAGAAUUUCUCUUCUUAUUUAAAAAAUCUACGGCUUCCAUACACAGAUUUAUGUGGGGUAUUGCCCAAAAGAGUUUUCCACCUUUCCGAUUUAGAAUUCCUUGAUUUAUCAUCCAAUUCUCAGCUCACUGUUAGGCUUCCCACAACCAAAUGGAAUAGCACUGCAUCACUCAUGUACUUACGUCUCUAUGACGUGAAUAUUACUGAUAGGAUACCUGAAUCAUUUAGCCAUCUAACUUCAUUGCUUGUAUUGGACAUGAGUGAUUGUAAUCUGUCAGGGUCUAUUACUAAACCUCUAUGGAAUCUCACCAACAUAGAGUUGUUGGACCUUGGUAAUAACCAUCUUAAAGGAUCAAUUUCCCGGUUAUCGAGAUUUGGAAAGCUCAAGGACUUAUCACUUAGAAAUAACAACUUUGAUGGCCAACUUGAGUUCUUAUCCUGUAACAGAAGUUGGACCCAACUUAAAUGGCUAGAUUUUACAUCCAAUUUCCUAACUGGUCCAAUUCCAUCCAACGUAAGUGGACUACAAAAUCUACAAUCACUCUACUUGUCAUCAAACAACUUGAAUGGGACUAUACCUUCCUGGAUAUUCUCCCUUCCUUCACUGUCAGAGUUAGAGUUGAACAAUAACACUUUCAGUGGAAAAAUUCAGGAGUUCAAGUCCAAAACAUUGUCUCAAGUUGAUCUAAAACAAAAUCAACUAGAAGGUCCUUUACCAAAUUCACUCCUAAACCAGCCACUCCUAACAUAUCUUCUCCUUUCACACAAUAAUAUCAGUGGACAGAUUGCUUCAACUAUCUGCAAUCUGAAAGAAUUGACUGUGCUAAAUUUGAGAAAUAAUAAUUUGGAGGGAACAAUCCCACAAUGCCUGGGUGAGAUGAAUGAAUACCUUUGGAAUUUGGAUUUGAGCAACAACAGUCUUAGUGGGACAAUCAAUAUAAAUUUUAGUAUUGGAAACUCUUUCAGGGUCAUUAGCUUGCACGGGAAUAAGCUAACAGGGAAAGUCCCACCAUCUUUGAUCAAUUGCAAGUAUUUGACACUUCUUGAUAUAGGUAACAAUCAGUUGAAUGACACAUUUCCAAACUGUUGGAAACCUACCUGAUUUGCAGAUUUUAAGCUUGAGAUCAAAUAAGUUUCACGGCCCCAUUAAAUCUUCAGGGAAUACAAACUUGUUUGCGCAGCUUCAAAUUCUGGAUCUAUCAUCCAAUGGAUUUAGUGGUAAUUUACCAAUUAGUCUUUUUGGGAAUUUGCAAGCCAUGAAGAAAAUUGACGAGAGUACAAGAACCCCAGAGUAUGUUUCUGAUCAAUUUGCUGGUUAUUAUGAAUAUUUGACCACAAUUACAACAAAGGGACAGGAUUAUGAUUCUGUUCGAAUUUUGGAUUCUAACAUGAUUAUCAAUCUCUCAAAGAACAGAUUUGAAGGUCAUAUUCCUAACAUUAUUGGAGAUCUCGUUGGACUUCGUACCUUGAACUUAUCUCAUAAUGUCUUGGAAGGUCAUAUACCAGCAUCAUUGCAAAAUUUAUCUGUACUCGAAUCAUUGGAUUUCUCAUCUAACAAAAUCAGCGGAGGAAUUCCACCACAACUUGCAUCCCUCACAUUUCUUGCAGUCUUAAAUCUCUCUCACAAUCAUCUUGUUGGAUGCAUCCCCAAAGGAAAACAAUUUGAUACGUUUGAGAACACUUCCUACCAAGGGAAUGAUGGGUUACGUGGAUUGCCACUCUCAAAACACUGUGGCGGUGAUGAUAGGGUACCACAAGCAAUAACUCCAUCAGAGCUAGAUCAAGAAGAAGAAGAAGAUUCACCAAUGAUCAGUUGGCAAGCGGUUCUCAUGGGUUACGGUUGUGGACUUGUUAUUGGACUGUCCGUAAUAUACAUAAUGUUGUCAACUCAAUAUCCAACAUGGUUUUCGAGGUUGGUUGUGCAAUUGGAACACAGAAUUACUACGAGAAUGAAAAGGCACGAGAAAAGAUAUUAGUGAGUAGCUACCUUCAAGUAUUCAACUUGAUCUUUAUCUUUCUUGAAGUCAUUUUUUAUAUAUCAAUGUAUUUUCGACCUCCUUCAUCCUCAAAGCUCUUACAUUUAAUUCUUCAUUUUUGAAAAUUGCAGGAUAAAGUUUCUGAAGAUGCAGAUAAAAAGCCUUUAUCUUUCAUAGUUUGUGAUGUUUCCAUAAAGUAUUUGUUAUCCUAUGAAUAAAAACAUGACUUUCCCUUCCUUUGAGACUACAUACCAUAAAGUCUAUGGCAUGUAGAUAUAAAUUCGACUGAUAAACAGAAACCGGACAUAAACUUAAAUCUUUAGAUCAUUUAAUCAGAUGAUAAUACGUGUCAUCACUAAAAACAUAGUAUUUCACUCAACUCUUUCACAUGACAUCAUAACACAAACAUAGAACACUCUACUUUAAGUUCGGAAACAUAAAAAUCUGAAGUUACAGAGUUUGAAAAUAUAUUUUUUCCGAUUCAUGAUGGUCCUUCAUCAAAGGAUCAAAGAAACAUUAGGAAAAAUAUUUGCAUUAUUCUCUACUGCCUGAGCCUCACAUAGACAACAUCAUGUGUUUUCAACUCGAAUCUACAUUCUUUGAAGAGCUGAAGAAAGAACCUUCAACUCUUCCCAUCUAAAUCUUGGAUGAUAGAGUUACCCGAUAUCUCUAUUGGUGGAAGGUAGACGGUACCAGUUGAAUUAAUUGAAUAGAACACAAGUUGACCCAAGCAUCACUGUUAUACAAUAACAAACUACGCCUCAGCCCCAAAAAAUAACUUGCAUAGAGACCUGCAAUAAUGUUCAAACCCCAAAAUAAGAUAGACAUAAACAUAUAACUGAGUGAUAGAAUUUCUAGUGAUCGAAAUCCAUAAGGAAUUCAAACUUCAUUUAGGAAGAAAUCAAGCAGAAGCGCUUGCCUAUAGGUGAGCUUUAUUGUGAUCAACUAUUGUUCAGAUUCAUUAAUUAGCAAACCGCUGCAUAAUUUUGAAGUUUCGGGGCAAACAAACUUUGGAACCAGAUCUGUCAAGCUAUGACUUAGUUGAUUUUGAUGAGUCGAGAUUCCAUCACCAAGAUGCGGCAGUUAUCAGCUCCACUAAAUAAAACUGUGGGCUGGAACCUUGUGUGUAUUCCAGCAUCUAACAUUGCUUUUCUCAAGGCAUCAGCAUGAUCCCACCUCUCUGCACCAGCAUAAAUGCUUGAGAGUUGCAUAUAACACCCUGAAUGCUUGAGAGUUAUGCUACUUCAAUAGCUCCAUGAAGUCUACAAGCACCCAUCAGAUCCCCCAAGACAGUAGCAUCAGCUUCAAAAGGCAUCUUCUUUAGUCUUCCUGCAGUUUCCCAGCUCUCCCUAAGAGAUCAACCACACAACCAUAAGUUGAAUCUUUAGAUCAUUCAAUCAGGUGAUAUGUGCCAUCACUAAAAACAUUGUGUUUCACUCAACUCUUUCACAUAACACAAACAUACAACACUCGACUUUAAGUUCAGGAACAUAAAAAUCUGUAGUUACAGAGUUCGAAGAUAUCAUUAAUGCGUGCUUCUCCCUUCCAUUCAAGCUGGGGAAGAAAUCAUAACACGACCAUCGCAUCAAUUACCUUUGAAGCAUAUAUCAAACAACCCAUAAAAUGAGAUCAAUGCGGUCGUCAGAAGUUGAAGCAUAUGUUCUGUAACAGCCCAAAGCACAAAACAAAAGAAAAUCAGAAUAAGAAUCAGAAAUAAAGUUGAAUCUGAAUCGUUAGAUCAUUCAAUCAGACGAUAUGUGCCAUCACUAAAACCAUUGUAUUUCACUCAACACGUUCACAUAACACAAACAUAGAACACUCGACUUUAAGUUCAGGAACAUAAAAAUCUGUAGUUACAGAGUUUGAAGAUAUUUUUCUACAGACUCAUGAUUGUCUAUAAUAAGGUAUCACACAAAAUGCAUGUAUUUUUACAAAGUGAUUGUGUUAUCAAAUAACUACAUGAACUCUAAAUACUCAUACAUAAGUAGUGAUUAUCAUUUAAAGAGCACUUUCAUGGAACUUUUUAAUUGUGCAAAUUUUAUUUCAGGAGAAGUUAAAAAAAGAAAAGGCGAAUUUGUGAAUUUACUCCGAAAAUUUUAAAAAGUGACCUUCAUUUUUUAAUUUUCUUUUGUACAAAAAUGGACUAAUGGACCUGAGAUCAUGCUGAAAGUAUAACUUUACAUUUUAAUAAACAUUUGACAGAAAGCAAAGUAGAAACUUUCUUCUCUUCUUUUGUUUUGUAAUAGAAAGGCAAAGUUAUGGGUGGGAGUGGGGGCAGGGUUGUUAAAGGAGUAAGAAAAGUUCUGUCACAGCAACCAACACUAUAUUAUCCUAACCAGUCAAUAUCUUUUUAGAAUUUUGACUUGAAAUGUCUUUUCUCAAAGUAUAUACGUCAAUUAUUACUUUAUUCUUAAUCAAACUUUUUGAAUUUCAGCAGAACUGAUUAUAUCAAUGCAAUAAUUGAAGGUGAGGGGUUCCAAACAAGUACUGCUGCAACAUAAGGUUGAUGUAAUUUAUUUUGAACUCACCAAAGUUGAGGAAAAUAAGGUUUCUUGAAGGAGUAGCAUUGAGAAUGUGAAACUUUGUUCAUACACCCAACCGACAUAACAACUUUCUGAUUUAUUCAAUCAUGGUUAUCAAAUGCAGCUCAUACCUAUAGAUUAUCUCCAAAAUAGCUUUCUACUUCAUCACAUCCAGUUCCAAAAUUGUGAAAAUCUGAAUCUGGAAAAGCAGGUUACUGAUCUAUUAUUUUGUUCACUUACAGUAUUAGCCAAUCGUGGAUUUAUCAAAAUAGUACUUUUACUUGUCCCAAUUUUUAAUAAAAAGAAGAAGAGAAAGGUGUGUGUAAAGAGAAUCAAAACAAAGAACUUUUUUGUGAACUAUUGAAUGAAAAUGACCUGGAAUUGAUUACUCCAAAGCAACAACUAAACUUCUUUGCUUAGUUUGUGCUAUAUAUAUCUCAUCAAACUUACUAUAGACACAGAGCAAGCAUUUCUUGAUUUCUUCUCUAUCAACUUAAUUAGUUUUGAUCAUUUUAGUGCAGAAAUGGGUUGUGUAAAACUUGUAUUUUUUAUGCUAUAUACCUUUCUAUGUCAACUUGCUUUCUCCUCAUCCUUACCUCAUUUGUGCCCCAAAGAUCAAGCUCUUUCUCUUCUACAAUUCAAGCACAUAUUUACCAUUAAUCCUAAUGCUUCUGAAUAUUGUUACGACAUAACAGACCAAGAGAUUCAGUCAUAUCCACGAACUCUUUUAUGGAACAAGAGCACAGAUUGUUGCUCAUGGGAUGGAGUUCAUUGUGACGAGACGACAGGACAAGUGAUUGAGCUUGAUCUCCGUUGCAGCCAACUUCAAGGCAAGUUUCAUUACAACAGUAGCCUCUUUCAACUCUUCAAUCUCAAAAGGCUUGAUUUGUCUUGCAAUAAUUUCUCCGGAUCGCUCAUUUCACCUAAAUUUGGUGAGUUCUCUAACUUGAGGCAUCUUGAUUUGUCGCGUUCAAAUUUUACAGGUCUAAUCCCAGUUGAAAUCUCGCACCUUUCUAAACUACACGUUCUUCGUAUAGGUGAUCAAUAUGAGCUUAGUCUUGGACCUCACAAUUUUGAACUGCUCCUUAAGAACUUGACCCAAUUAAGAGAGCUCAAUCUUCACUAUGUGGACAUCUCUUCCACUAUUCCUUCAAAUUUCUCUUCUCAUUUAACAACUCUACAACUUGCAGACACACAGAUACGUGGGAUACUUCCCGAAAGAGUUUUCCACCUUUCCAACUUAGAAUCCCUCGAUUUAUCAGAAAAUCCCCAGCUCACUAUUAGGUUUCCCACUACCAAAUGGAAUAGCAGUGCAUCACUCAUGGAGUUACAUCUCAGUCAUGUGAAUUUUACUGGUAGGAUACCUGAAUCUUUUAGCCAUCUAACUUCACUGCAUAAGUUGUACCUUGAUAAUAACCAUCUUGAAUGACCGAUUUCUCAGUUCUUGAGAUUUGAAAAGCUCAGGUACUUAUCACUUAGAAAUAACAACUUUGAUGGCCAACUUGAGUGUUUAUCCUUUAACAGAAGCUGGACGCAAUUUGUAAUGUUAGAUUUUCGGUCCAAUUCCCUAACUGGUCCAAUUCCAUCCAACGUAAGUGGACAGCAAAACCUAAAAUGGCUUAUCUUGUCAUCAAACCACUUGAAUGGGACUAUACCUUUCUGGAUAUUCUCCCUUCCUUCACUGAUAAUGUUAAACUUGAGCAAUAACAUUUUCAGUGGAAAAAUUCAGGAGUUCAAUUCCAAAACAUUAGCUGUCGUUAUUCUGAGAAAAAAUCAGCUGGAAGGUCCUAUUGCUUCAGCUAUCUGUAAUCUGAAAACAUUGUUUCUACUAGAUUUGAGAAGCAAUAAUUUGGAGGGAACAAUCCCACAAUGUUUGGGUGAGAUGAGUGCAGUUGAGAUUUUGGAUUUAAGCAACAAUAGUCUUAGUGGGACAAUCAAUACAACUUUUAGUAUUGGAAACUAUCUCAGAGUCAUUAGCUUGCAUGAGAAUAAGCUAGAGGGGAAAGUCCCACGAUCUUUGAUCAAUUGUAAAAAUUUGGAACUUGUUAAUUUAGGUAACAAUCAGUUGAAUGAUACAUUUCCAAGAUGGAUGGGAAUCCUACCGAGUUUGAUGAUUUUAAAUUUGAGAUCAAAUAAGUUGCACGGGCCCAUUAAAACUUCAAGGACUGGAAACUUGUUUGCGCAGCUUCAAAUUAUGGAUCUAUCAUCCAAUGGAUUUAGUGGCAAUUUACCUGAAAGUCUUUUUGUGAAUUUGCAAGCCAUGAAGAAAAUUGAUGAGAACAUGAUAGGGAAAGAGGUUUUUGAUUAUGAUGAUUCUUUAACAAUUACAAUAAAGGGAUUGGAUCUUACUUUUGCUAGAGUUUUGUGGAGAAAUAACAUAGUUAUAGAUCUCUCAAGAAAUAGAUUUGAAGGUCCUAUUCCAAACAUUAUAGGACAUCUCAUUGGACUUCGUGUGUUAAACUUAUCUCAUAAUGUCUUGGAAGGUCAUAUACCAGCAUCAUUGCAAAAUCUAUCUGUACUCGAAUCAUUGGAUCUCUCAUCUAACAAAAUCAACGGAGAAAUUCCGCAGCAACUUGCAUCCCUCACAUUUCUUGAAGUCUUAAAUCUCUCUCACAAUCAUCUUGUUGGAUGCAUUCCCAAAGGAAAACAAUUUGAUACGUUUGAGAAUAGUUCAUACCAAGGGAAUGGUGGGUUACGUGGAUUGCCACUCUCAAAACAUUGUGGUGGUGAUGGUAGGGUACCACAAGCAACAAUUCCAGUUGAGCUAGAUCAAGAAGAAGAAGAUUCACCAAUGAUCAGUUGGCAGGCAGUUCUCAUGGGUUACGCUUGUGGUCUAGUUAUUGGACUAUCUGUAAUAUACAUAAUGUUGUCAACUCAAUAUCCAGCAUGGUUUUCGAGGAUGGAUUUAAAAUUGGAACACGGAAUUACUACGAGAAUGAAAAAACACAAGAAAAGAUAUUAGUGUGUAGCGACCUCCAGGUAUUCAACUUGAUCUUUAUCCUUCAAAAGAUUACUUCUUAUAUAUCGAUGUAUUUUCCACCUCCUUCAUCCUUAAAGCUCUUAACUUUAAUUCUUUAUUUUUGAAAAAUGCAGGAUUCAAGUCUACUUAGUUGCUGGGAAUGUAGAUAAAAGCCUUCAUCUUUCAUAGUUUGUGAUGUUUCCAUGAAGUGUUUGUUAUCUUAUGAAUAAAGAUAUCACUUUUCUUACUUUGAGACUCAACCAAAUUUUGUUUUCAUUUGUCUAUGGCAUGUAGAAACAAAUUCGACAGAAACAGAAAUCGAACACAAACUUGAAUCUUCAUAUCAUUCAAUCGGACGAUAUAUGUCAUCACUAAAAACAUUGUAUUUCACUCAACUCUGUCACAUGACAUCAUAACAAAAACAUAGAGCAGUCGACUUCAUGUUCAGAAACAUAAGUCUCAGAUGACAGAGUUCCCCGAUAUCUCUAUUGGUGGAAGGUAGACGGUACUGGUUGAAUUAAUUGAAUAGAACACAAGUUGACCUGAGCAUCUCUGUUAUACAACAACAAACUACGCCUCAGACCCAAACAAUAACUUGCAUAGAGAUCUGCAAUACUGUUCAAAGCCCAAAAUAAGAUGGACAUAAACACACAAUUGAUUGAUAGAAUUUCUAGUGAUCGAAAUCCAUAUGGAUCUCAAACUUCAUUUGGGAAGAAAUCGAGCAAAAGCUCUUGACUAUAGGUGAGGUUUAUCGUGAUCAACUAUUGUUCAGAUUCAUUAAUUAAUCAGCAAACCGCUCCAUAAUUUCAAAGUUUCGGGGGAAACAGACUUUGGAACCAGAUCUGUCAAGCUAUGACUUAGUUGAUUUUGAUGAGUCGAGAUUCCAUCACCAAGAUGCGGAGUUAUCAGCUCCGCUAAAUAAAACUGUGGGGUGGAACCUUGUGUAUUCCAGCAUCUAACAUUGCUUUUCUCAAGGCAGCAGCAUAAUCCCACCUCUCUGCGCCAGCAUAAAUGAUUCCGUUGUGACUCAAGCAAUAGUUGUGCUACUUCAUUUUCCAAUUCAAUAGCUCCAUGAAGUCUACAAGCACCCAUCAGUGAACCUUUUAAUUGUGUAAAUUUUAUUUCAUGAGAAGUAAAAGAAAAAAAAAAAGGUGAUAUGUGAAUUUACUCUGAAAAUUUUAAAAAGUGACCAUUUUUUUAAUUUUCUUUGGUACGAAAAUGGACUAAUGGACCUGAGAUCAUGCUGAAAGUAUAACUUUACAUUUUAAUAAACAUUUGACAGAAAGCAAAGUAGAAAUUUUCUUCUCUUCUUUUGUUUUGUAAUAGAAAGGCAAAGUUGUGGGUGGGAGUGGGGGCAGGGUUGUUAAAGGAGUAAGAAAAGUUCUGUCACAGCAACCAACACUAUAUUAUCGUAACCAGUCAAUAUCUUUUUAGAAUUUUGACUUGAAAUGUCUUUUCUCAAAGUAUAUACGUCAAUUAUUACUUUAUUCUUAAUCAAACUUUUUGAAUUUUCAGUAGAACUGAUUAUAUCAAUGCAAUAAUUGAAGGUGAGGGGUUCCAAACAAGUACUGCUGCAACAAGUUAGAAACUGGUGAUGUAAUUUGUGUUGAAGGAGUAGCAUUGAGAAUAAGAGUAUCACUUCACUUUAUACAUAGUCUUUUUCUUACCAACUUCUAAUGCGAGACUUUGUUCAUACACCCAACCGACAUAACAACUUUCUACUUUAUUCCGUCGCGGUUAUCAAAUGCAGCUUAUACCUGCAGAUUAUCUCCAAAACAGCUUUCUACCUCAUCACAUCCAGUUCUAAAAUUGUGAAAAUCUGAAUCUGGAAAAGUAAUUAACAAACAUUGAACAGGUUACUGAUCUAUUAUUUUGUUCACUUACAGUAUUAGCCAAUCAUGGAUUUAUCCAAAUAAUACUUUUAAUUGUCCCAAUUUUUAAUAAAAAGAAGAAGAGAAAGUUGUGUGUGUGGAGGGUUGUAAAGAGAAUCAAAACAAAGAACUUUUUUGUGAACUAUUGAAUGAAAUGACCUUCUUGAAUUGAUUACUCCAAAGCAACAACUAAACUUCUUUGCUUAGUUUGUGCUAUAUAUAUCUUAUCAAACUUACUAUAGACACAGAGCAAACAUUCUUGAUUUCUUCUCUAUCAACUUAAUUAGUUUUGAUCAUUUUAGUGCAGAAAUGGGUUGUGUAAAACUUGUAUUUUUUAUGCUAUAUACCUUUCUAUGUCAACUCGCUUUCUCCUCAUCCUUACCUCAUUUGUGCCCCAAAGAUCAAGCUCUUUCUCUUCUACAAUUCAAGCACAUAUUUACCAUUAAUCCUAAUGCUUCUGAAUAUUGUUACAGCAUAACAGACCAAAGGAUUCAGUCAUAUCCACGAACUCUUUUAUGGAACAAGAGCACAGAUUGUUGCUCAUGGAAUGGAGUUCAUUGUGACGAGACAACAGGACUGGUGAUUGAGAUUGAUCUCCGUUGCAGCUAACUUCAAGGCAAGUUUCAUUCCAACAGCAGCCUCUUUCACCUCUCCAAUCUCAAAAGGCUUGAUUUGUCUUAUAAUAAUUUCUCUGGAUCGCUCAUUUCACCUAAUUUUGGUGAGUUCUCUAGCUUGACGCAUCUUGAUUUGUCAGGUUCAAGAUUUACAGGUCUAAUCCCAACAGAAAUCUCUCACCUUUCUAAAUUACACGUUCUUCGUAUGGGUGAUCAAAAUGGGCUUAGUUUUGGGCCUCACAAUUUUGAACUACUCCUUAAGAACUUGACCCAAUUAAGAGAGCUCAAUCUUGACUUUCUGAACAUCUCUUCGAGCAUUCCUCUGAAUUUCUCUUCUUAUUUAAAAACUCUAAGGCUUCUAGACACACAGUUACGUGGGGUAUUGCCCGAAAGAGUUUUCCACCUUUCCAACUUAGAAUCUCUCGAUUUAUCAGGAAAUCCCCAGCUCACUGUUAGGUUUCCCACAACCAAUUGGAAUAGUUGUGCAUCACUCAUGUACUUAUAUCUCGAUAGUGUUAAUUUUACUGGUAGGAUACCUGAAUCAUUUAGCCAUCUAACUGCACUUCAUAACUUGGACAUGGGUUAUUCUAAUCUGGCAGGGCCUAUUCCAAAACCUCUAUGGAAUCUCACCAACAUAGAACUUUUGUACCUUGGUUAUAACCAUCUUGAAGGAUCAAUUUACCAGUUCUCGGGAUUUGGAAAGCUCAAGAAGUUAUCACUUGAAAAUAACAACUUUGAUGGCCAACUUGAUUUCUUAUGCUUUAACAGAAGCUGGAGGCAGCUUGAAGCAUUAGAUUUUUCAUCCAAUUUCCUAACUGGUCCAAUUCCAUCCAAUUUGGUAAGUGGACUACGAAAUCUACAAUCACUCUACUUGUCAUCAAACCACUUGAAUGGGACUAUACCUUCCUGGAUAUUCUCCCUCCCAUCACUAUAUUUGCUACACUUGAGUGAUAACCAUUUCAGUGGAAAAAUUCAGGAGUUCAAGUCCAACACGUUAUCUGAAGUUGAUCUAAGAUAAAAUCAGCUGCAAGGUCCUUUACCAAAUUCACUCCUAAACCAGCCAAACCUAGCAUUUCUUCUCCUUUCGCACAAUAAUAUUAGUGGACAGAUUGCUUCAACUAUCUGCAAUCUGAAAACACUAAUAGCUCUAGACUUGGGAAGUAACAAUUUGGAAGGAACAAUCCCACAAUGUUUGGUUGAGAUGAAUGAAUACCUUCGGAAUUUGGAUUUGAGCAACAAUAGUUUUAGUGGGACAAUCAAUACAAAUUUUAGUAUUGGAAACUAUCUCACGGUCAUUAGCUUGCAUGGGAAUAAGCUAACGGGGAAAGUUCCACGAUCUUUGAUCAAUUGCAAGCAUUUGACACUUCUUGAUCUAGGUAACAAUCAGUUGAAUGACACAUUUCCAAACUGGUUGGGAUACCUACCUGAUUUGAAGAUUUUAAGCUUGAGAUCAAAUAAGUUGCAUGGUCCCAUCAAAUCUUCAGGCAAUAAAAACUUGUUUGCGCAGCUUCAAAUUAUGGAUCUAUCAUCCAAUGGAUUUAGUGGGAAUUUACCAGAAAAUAUUUUUGGGAACUUGCAAGCCAUGAAGAAAAUUGAUGAGAGUACAAGAACCCCGAAGUAUGUUUCUGAUCAAUAUGCUGGUUAUUAUGAUUAUUUGACGACAAUUACAACAAAGGGACAUGAUUAUAAUUAU